Molecule: long non-coding RNA, 4147 nt
Organism: Passer domesticus (house sparrow)
Lineage: Eukaryota; Metazoa; Chordata; Aves; Passeriformes; Passeridae
Exons: 4
Source: RefSeq, a predicted model, not a curated record
UCUGCCACUUCCUCCCUCCCUCCCUCUCUCCCUCCCUUCCUCCCUCCCUUCUCUUAUGUCUUUCUUUCUCUCCUUCUUUCUCUUUUCUCAUUUCUUCCUUCUAUCCCUUUCUCUCUGUCAUUUUUUCUCCACCAUUUUUUCUCCCUAUUUCACUCACUAUUUUUACUUUCUUGCCCUACUCCCUUGACUCUACACUCUACUGCAGCUUAGUAGUUCAUUGAGUUAGUUUGAAGAAUAUGCAUGAUUUGUCCCAUGAGUUCCUUCAAUAAUCAUUUUUGCUGUCUGCCUCUACAAAAGACGGAUCUGUGCUCUCUGACCAGAUGGAAAUAGUCUUGGGAACUGACCUUGUGUAUGUAAAUAGAGAAGGUGAAUAUGGUUAAAAGGAUGCAUACAUUUUCACUUAAAAUGGUCUUAAGAAGUGGAUGUUCUACAGUGGUUGUCUUGUGACCCGCAGAUACUGAGAUGUUCUUCAGCAUGCCCACUGUCUGUCAUCUCCCCACUUCAAAGGUGGACUCUGCUUUUGCUGACCAUGUAACCUCCCAUACUGUAUGCACCUGGAUAAGGGAAGAUCAUGUGCUCAUAUCAUAAUAUCUGAGACAACAUCUGCAUUGCAUGUGAUACUGCUCUUUUGCAUUUUAUCGACAAAAGCUAAAGGAGAACCAAAAUGCAAAAAGGGAAAGGAAGCACACAUCUCCAGACUUAAGGGAAUAGUGUUCAUCGUGUCAUACACAAGCAAUCAAGCACUCAGUACAAUGAAGAGGAAGUUGGUGGAAGACCACACUCCCCAUCAAGGAGCAUACAUGUUUUGAUAACAUAGGUCUGUGAUAAACUUAGAGGGACCCCACUGAACACGCUUGAGAUUCUUGGCCUUCCAAGUGAAAUAUUAAAGUACAGUGAUAAACCACUCCUGGGUGAAUCCCUGAAGCACAGAUGGAGACAGCAGCUCUGGUGAUCUUCUAGCAUGGACUGAGUUCUGCAGUGCCUGCAUUGUAUUUUUGUGCUUCUUCACAGGUGCUUGGUAUCUAAUGGUUGUCAAGGUAACAAAGAUACAUUUACUCCUUGCAUUUAAUUUGUGGUUUUGUGGUUGUUUCUGUGUUCUGCUUGACACUGGGAAGAGUCUCAAACCCCUUUUCCUGCUAUGAGGUAAAGUAUUCCCCCAGAAGAUAUAUCCAUGAGGAAUCUUCAGAAUGACGUUUUUUGAUAGGCUGUUAAUAAAUACAGUUUACACCAGAGAUGCAUGUCUUUAGGUCGAUUUCAUUCCAAUUAACUUAGACAUCUGAAACUAAGUCUGUGUUGUAGUUAACAAAACUCCAUUCAUAUUAAUGGAAAGAAACAGACCUUUAAGAGGUUGUGAUAAUCCAUUUUCAGAGAGACACUUGAGUCAUCUUUACCUAGUGCCUGUAUUGAUACUUUAACCAAGAGCGAGCGUAAACCAGAUAAUUAUCCUUUGGUUCUCUACAGGUAUUGAGGUAAAAACCUAUAUUAGAUGUUUAGCCAUCUGAACAAGUGUCCUUGUUUGUCUUACUGUUUAUCUUGGUAUCAAUAAGUACUUAAUUAUUUUUGAUGAUGUGUAACUGAUUCACAGAAAUCUAUUCAGAAGAAAAGAGCAGUUCAGAACAAAACCCCUUGCAUUACCUCCUUGCAGGUGGAUAAGAACUCUCUUGAAAAAAAAAAGGGAUUUGGGGUUUUUUGCAGAUGGUAUUUAUCUGUCAUUUUGAUGUAUCUUGAGGAAAAAACAUGAACUUGGACAUUUAUGUAAUACACAAACCUGACAUUUUUUAGGUUAGUGGGUUUUUUUCUGUAUGUCUGCAGGUUCUAGGUGAAUAGAUUUCAAGCUCUUGUGGAAAGGGUCUGUGGGCCUUUAGUAUGGUUGAGUUACAUAGGUUUAGGUAUUGCCAGAGAACAAAUGAAUAACUCUAGUUAUGGGCCCUGUACCGCACUUCCAAGGAUAUUAUAUGAAGAACUAUUGUUCCCCCUAGCACCUUAAGCUUUCCUAUUCUGAGAAACCCAUAAAUUUUAAGGUUUUAGUACAUUUUAGUACAGAAAUACAUGUAGCAGAUAAUUAUAUACUAUUUGUCAAGAAUUUCCACUCUGAAGCUGCACUAUUAGGACAGCAUGUUUUCAUUUGGUUUAACCGCAUCACUGCUACUACAAAAGGUCAGAAUAGAGCAAAGCAUCUCUUCUAUUCCUGCACAUUCCUGACAUAUUUGUCCAUUAAAAAGCCAGCAUGCAGGAGAAUGCUCUUUUUGUGUUAUGGAACAGACUUGCUAAAUUACAAAGAUUACAGCUAGUGAAAAUGUAAUAUUUUCUCUAGAACAUCUCCAUGUACAUGGAUUCCUACUCUUUAAUUUGAUAAAGUAAUGAAAGAGUUAAAGGUCUUAAUUAGGGUUUUUUUGUUGUUGUUGUUUUUUUGUAGGAUUUUUGUGAUACAGCAACAUCUAUUUUCUAGAUUUUUGCUGUUUGGAUUGUAUUUUCAAUCUUCAUUAAAAAUAUAACCCCCAAUUUUAGUUUGGUCAUAUUCAACAUAUUUAAUACAUGUAGGCAUCAAUAGUUAGUUGUGAAAAGUACAAUAAAAUGAGAAAGUACUAUACAAUUAUAAAAGGCAAUGAAAGCUAGAAGAGCUUUUUAAAAUUCCAGAGAAUAGUAUAUCCAGCAUUUCGGUACUAAUUACAUUUUUUCUGGCUUCACAUUUUAGAUCUUCACAGCAUGUAUAUGUACAGACUGCAGUUCUGCAAUGUUUGUGACAUGUUAUAACCUUGUAUGACAUCUCUUUCUUUCCCAGCAUCUGUCUUAGAAUAACUUAAUGAAAAGCUUACAGAUGACACAGCCCCAGAUAUUUUAUAAAAUUACAUUCAGAACCAGGUCAAGAUGUCUUGGAAUACAAAGCCCAUCACAUUUCUAAGGUUAUAUAUAUAUUUAUAUAUACACACACACACACACACACACAUAUAUCCAACUGUUAUUCAGCAUAUGGGAUGAUUUUCAUAAGCCCGAAGACAUCCCAAACUUUUAUGUGGAGAUGGCUGAUUGAACGUGGUGUAAAUAAUUUACAGCCUCUGGAACCAUAAAUGGAGGCUGCUCAAGAGAACAUGCAGCAUUGGAAAUCUAUUUUUUACAUCCCACUGCCCCCCUUUGUGCCUUCUCCAGUGCUCUGAUUUGGGUCUUCUUUUGUUUUUGAUGCAUAUUACUUCCUUGAAGCAUCAUUAUUUCAGAUGAGAAAAUAACUAUAUUUGAGGAAAAUUUUAUCUCACCUCAGAGGAAAGAAAUAAUUUACAUGCACAUUCUGGAGCUGUAAUACAAGGGAGAAUCUAGCACUGUCGGUGAGUAAAGACUGCCCUACAAAAAGAGGUUUCAACUUCAGAUGUCUGUUUGCAUUAGGAGACAGCUUGAGUUCUUUUGGAAACGCCAGUAACUUUAGAUAAUGUGGCUAAGGGUAUAUGGUUUCAGCUUCACAGGAAUUUAUAAUUUUCUCUUUGAUUUUAUAUGUACUUGGAAUAUUGUGAACGUCUAUGCCUGGUUUUAUUGAAGAUUGUCUCUGGAGUUACUGGCUUCAUUGUAUAAUUUUAACUUUAUUUUCUGGUUAGUAUAAAAACAUGAAAAAGACUUUUUAUUAUUUCUUUAUGUAAAGCCGUGUUCAUUAUCAGAGUAGCUAGAAUUUACAGACAAAUAUGAAGUACAAUUUCAAUAAAGAAUUUUUAUUGCUUUUUCCUUUGCCAAAUGGUUGUAGUUGAACAAAAUACAUGCAGCAUAUGAAAUACACUCCUCAAUAAUGUUAGACUUCAAACUACCUCAUGAUUUGGAGAACAAAUCCCAGCACAAAACUGCUUAAUAGAAGGAAAACCAGAUCUUUCUUUUGAUAUUUUAGCAAUCAUAUAUUGAAAAUAUGCUCUUUGCACCUUAUCAAAUCAAUCAUUCUGGGGCUUACAGUGAUGAUAAAAAGGAAGGAAUUUAAACAUUGUUAAAGAGUGAAUGUAAAGCACAUAGCUUGCCUUGCAUAAAUAUUAUGAGAGAGAAUACUGUUUUCUCUGUAAUAAUAGCACAUCUUGAAAAAUGGCUUCAAAAAUUAUCUAGGUCUUUUUUACUAACCAUUUCCUUCAAGCAGAUGCAUUUUAAGUAGUUUACUUGGUUAGACUUGUCACAGAGUUUU